Molossus molossus (Pallas's mastiff bat) is the source of this 3230-nucleotide RNA transcript. It is a transcript of the gene named sec1 family domain containing 2, with no coding region annotated. The record is from RefSeq and is a predicted model, not a curated record. Lineage: Eukaryota; Metazoa; Chordata; Mammalia; Chiroptera; Molossidae. The transcript is spliced from 11 exons.
CAGUGUUGACUGUCAAAGUCUGAGAGAGCCCAAUUCCCGGAAGCUGUGAAUUCUGAGAAAAGUUCUUGCCCUUGAGUGCCCGAGUCUGCGAAUCCCCAACUAUGAGCGCCCCGGGCGUACAGUCCUUUACCAAGCAGGGCUGGGACCAGGUGCUGGCCAAAGUGAAACGGGCUCUGGUCUACAUGGACGCCGCCUGCGCCGAGAGCCUGCACUGGGGCUGCGGCUCCACCCGGCUCCUGGAGGCGGUGGGGGGUCCUGCGUGUCACCUGCGGGAGUUCGAGCCCGCAGCAGUUGGUGGCGGAGCUGAGCAACCCAAAGCGGUGUUUGUGCUGAGCUGCCUACUGAAAGGCCGAACCGUGGAGACUCUACGGAACAUCAUCUGCCGCAGCCACUUCCAGUACUGUGUGGUGGUCACGGCGGUGGACCACGCUGUCCACCUCACGGCUAAUCAUGUGCCCGCGGCGGCAGCGGCUGAGCUGGAAGGGCAGCAGCCGGUGUUCGAGCAACUGGAGGAGAAGCUGUGUGAGUGGAUGGGCAACAUGAACUACACCGCCAAGGUGCUGCACAUCCCCUUGUUGCUAGCCCCUGCUGCUCCUCACCUUGCCUUGACUCCAGCAUUUGCUUCCCUUUUUCCACUGCUACCUCAGGACGUGCAUCUUCUUAAUAGUGCCCGACCAGACAAGAGGAGGCUGGGGAGCCUGGCUGAGGUGGAUGCCAAUGCCUUGUCCCCUGAGCUGUUAUUGCAGAUCAGGUGCUUGGUGUCAGGCCUCAGUUCUCUGUGCGAGCAUUUAGGAGUACGGGAGGAGUGUUUUGCUGUAGGUUCCUUCAGUCGGAUCAUUGCUGCAGAUCUGGCUAAUUAUGUCCCUGCCAAGAACAGAAGGAAGACUUCUGCAGGCAGGGCCUCAGUGGUCUUUGUGGACAGAACUCUGGAUCUCACAGGAGCAGUUGGACAUCAUGGAGACAACUUGGUAGAGAAGAUCAUUUCAGUGCUUCCCCAGCUUCCUGGCCACACCAAUGAUGUGAUGGUUAACAUGGUAGAGCUCACUGCACUGCAGAAUGAAGAGGAGAAUCAGAAUAUGGUUGCCCCAGGCUGUCUCGCACAAUCCAACGAUACUGCAGCCAAAGCCCUGUGGGAAGCCUUACUGAACAGCAAGCACAAAGAGGCUGUGAUGGAAGUCCGGAGACAUCUAGUGGAAGCAGCAAGCAGAGAAAACCUGCCAAUCAAGAUGAGUAUGGGGCGAGUCACUCCGGCGCAGCUCACAUCCUAUAUUCAGCUCUUCAAGAACAACCUCAAAGCUCUAGUGAAUCACUGUGGCCUCCUGCAACUUGGGCUGGCCACUGUUCAAACUCUGAAACACCCACAGACUGCCAAAUGGGACAACUUCCUGGCUUUCGAAAGGCUCCUUCUCCAGAGCAUGGGUGAGUCGACGAUGCCUGUUGUGUUAAAUCAGCUGCUGCCCAUGAUUAAGCCUUCGAAUCAGAGGACCAACGAUGAUUACAGCCCAGAAGAGCUGUUGAUCCUCCUAAUAUAUAUUUAUUCUGUCACUGGAGAAUUCACAGAGGACAAAGACCUGGCUGAAACUGAAGAAAAGGUGAAGAAAGCAUUGGCUCAAACCUUUUGUGAGGAGUCUGAGUUGUCACCUUUGCUGCAAAAAAUCACAGCCACAUGUAACAGGAGAGGAAAGGCAGGUCCCAUUCGGAAAGCACCAUUCUUUAAGGACACUGGGAAGGUGUACAAAUUUAUAACACAUCAUUUGUAUAUUCCGUUGUGUACUCACCACCGAAAGUCUAGUCCGAGGAGCUUCUGUCUUAUAAGGAAACACAACUACACAGACACGUUCUCUGAAGAGGUGCCCCCCUGCCUUCCUUUCCUUCUUCAUUUCAUCUCUUUCUUCCGCAUCUUGAUCUCAUUUUCAGAGGGACAAGCCAAAUGCAGUGCUCACGGGGUGAGCAGGGUUUGGAAUGCUUGGUAUGCUAGCUUCCUUCAGAUGCUGUUUACUGCUGGGGUCCAGUCAUGGUGCAGGGAGAUGGCCCCUUAGAGAAUCCUCUGCCGGAAAAGAAGGUGGUUCAAGAUUUUCGUGACAAAAUAUUUGAGAAGGUUAAGAUCAUCAGAGAUACUCCUUGGCUAACGAUGGGGUUACAUCUGCGUAAACCCAUUGUGAGUUGAAAAUUUUGUAAAUUGAAAAUGCAUUUAAUAGGACAUCGUCAAGCAUCGGUUGUUUACCCUCACAUUGCCUGGCUGAGCAGGAGCUGUGGCUUGCCACCACUGUUCAGCAUCAUGAGAGACCGACGACAGUCAGUCAAACAUGGCUAGCCCAGAAAAUGUCAUAGCCAUCAAACAUGGCUAGCCCAGAAAAUGUCAAAAUUCAGAAUUCGAAGUACGAUUUCUUUUGAAUGGGUAUAGCUUUGGAAUCAACAUAAAGUUGAAAAAUGGACAGUAACCAAAAAAGCAAAAUUUGUGACAUCAGAUUUAUUUCUAUGGCAACUGACUGUAAUGUUACAAACAUUGGAUUAUUGACUAGUUCAGGAUGAAGGUUCAGAAAGAUUCUUAUUUGGACGAGAUCAUCCAAAACCAACACCAAGGGGAAUAUUAUCAGAGCGGCAUCCAGCAGCGUAUCCUUUUCAAAAAAAAUGUUCUCAUUAUGCUGAGAACUUUGUUUUUUUGGUGUGUGAGGGUUUUUGUUAUUGUUUAAUGUUUCAUUUUGUUUGUUUGGUUGGUUUAUUUAUGUAUCCUCUUCUUCCCCCAGAGGUGAUUGGGUGCAAAAAUGGUUAUUUUUAGUAAUAGAAGCCCCCUCUCUUAAGAUGCUGUCUUUGCCUUCAUUAAAUUCUUCCUGCAUAAAUGAGUUAUUUUGGAACUUUAGUCAGAAACAUCUGUACUUUGUGCUGGACAAACAUCUGCCUUCCUACUGGAGCUGCCAGUCCUCCUGAUGUUAGAUAAAGCCACUUUGCUCUCUGAAAGCCCCUCAGAGAGGAAAGCAUGUAGAAAAAGUGGCCCACUGAUUCUUUAGCCCAGAGUGCCUCCUUGUGGCCGGAGCAAGUUACUACAGCAAGAAGAUGAAAGGAUCUAAAUUGUUUACCAGUUUGCUCUCCAUUUCCCCCUUUCCAAACUCAUGAAGUUUUUAAAGGCAAAAUGUAUUUUCAUCAACAUAUUAUGUGAUGACGCGGUGUGAAUACAGAGCCUCUGAGAGCAGACAGAGCUUUGCUACCAUCUUGGAAGGUAAGCCAGUGUU